AACACUCUCCCGUAUCAAUCAAUCAAAGAAAAGGAAGGAAAAGGAAAAUGAAAAUCACGCAACGCACACCGCACCUCUCCAUCCAGAAUCCCCAACCACCCACGCCUCGAUCCUCGCCGGCGAAUGCGACCCACCUCCGCGCCGUCAACAACCGGCCGUCGACCUCCACCCUCGCGUCCUUCAUUGCGCCCGGAGGCCAACUCCAUCUCCGCCCGCCGUCCUCUGGGGGUCCUUCACCGUCAGCGCCGCGCUCCGGGAAGACGUUCAUCACCUGGGCACGCCUCCAUCGGCGAGCUCCUGCCCUGCCCCGCCACGCCGCCCAUCCGGAGAACCAAGGCCGCUUCAGUUCACCCAGCCACCGCGCCACUAUCCUACUCACCGGACCCCUGCCGGCCGCCUCCACAAGCCGGUGAGGAGUAGGAGAAGCUUGGGACGGAUGGAUCGAUGGUGGUGCAGCUCGAGGCGGCGGCGAGGGGCGACGGCUUGCUCAGUUGCUCUACCUACCACUCGGACGAUGACGACGACGGGAACUGCAGAUACUGCUACGGCUUGCUGCUACCAAGGAUUAUCUUAAAGAGAAGCUGCAACCCUACAGAAGCAUCGUAGAAGAUAAGGUCUCCGCGGUGAACCAUUCCCAGGAAGUGAAGGUGAAGAGUAAAAACGUACUGCCUAUUUUUACGACUUACGACCCGUGUGGCCUGUUUUAUACAGUACCAAGGUUAUACUAUCUUCGCUAUUUAUGGCUUGUGUUCGUCUACAUGGUCCUUCAUGGUGUAAUUAUGUCAAUCAAAUAUUUAGAUAACUAUUGAGCUUUGUUUAGGAUUAGUGUUGCUGAAAGAAUGAUCAUCAUUUAGGAUUGGACUUGAUGCAUCUAUUCAUUUAAGAUUGAUCAUCAUAUUCUUUACGCCAUAAUACGUAAGAUAGUUUUCUUAGUUCAUGCUGAUCAAUGUUCACAUUUGUACUCGUUGCUGUCUCCGUAUGAUUUUUGCAGAAGUAUAAUCCUGCCAUGUUCAAAUGUUUUGUUCAGUUCACUAUCUAGGCUAUGCAUGGCCUGUCGUACUGGAAUGCUUAAUUUGCAAGACAAAAUAUGCAAAAAUCUGGUUCUCAGUUAAAAUGCUGAUGAAACAAUAAAUGCUAUGCUUUGGUAGUUCCUUCAGUUUUCUAGCUAAGCUAGUCAUGUUGAAUGCUAUCUGCAGCAUGGUCAUGAAAGUCUUAAUCUUCCUAGACUUGAUAUUUAUAGAGUAUUGGCAAUGAAUCUCUACUACGAAAAGCCUUUACUAGUAGUUUCUUUGUUAGCUCAGUCUGAAGGUUUAACUUUUACUACUUGUUUGGUGGAUCUUUACCAUCCACUAUUCCCAAGAAUUCAUUCCUAGUUAUGUAUGCCUCCUAUUCAAGCUCAUAGUAUUGUUACUUUUCCUGUUAACUUUCUAUUUAUCUUUCUUCUUUUUUUAUAAGGAUCGAGGAAGCAUUCAACAAUUAUAGUGCAAGAAUAAACAAUGUACAUAAAUGUUUACAGGGCCGUUUAGUAGAUCCACUGUAGUAGAACAACAAUUUUGGGUGCAAUGUCAACAAAGGUUUGUUUUCUGCCUGUAGAUCAUUUAUUUUAUGGUAGAAAGGAUGAUUAUGCAUGAUGUUAAGGUGCAUCCAUUUUAGUGAGUUUUAGAUAAGCUUGGUCAUUUUGAAGUUCCACAUGAUUUCCUCAUUUUCCAAAUUUGAGUACUUGCAUCACAGAUAGUUCAACUCUAUUUUGGGGCAUUGAUUAUGCGUGUAAGCAAAAGUGUAACAUCUUUACCAGUAUAACCCAAUUAGCCAUGAUGUCUUAUUUGGCAUGAUCUCUUUUAUUUUAUGGUUCAUUUUUCUGCUAUUUCACCAAUCAUAGCACCUUCAUCUUGGUUCACAUAAUGAGUUGUCGAAUUGGGCUCCCAAAUCCAGAGUUCCAUUGUUUGUACGAAGUCCCAAUUUCAGUCCUUUGUCAACUCUUGUCCAAACUGUACCUUCUUAUGGUUCACUACUAACUGAUUUAGUGCAAAGGGUGUUUUUUUGACUGACUUUCAUUUGCUACCUCCUCAUCGCUGCAUGCGAUUGCCAUUUACGAGCUGCUGCUGUACUAGCCACAGCCGGCCCUUGGCUUCGACUACCCGGCCUUGGUCCGCGACGCAACCGCGGUGGUGAUGCUCUGCCUCGGCUACAAGCUAUUCAGGUGGUGGCGAAUGGACAAACGAGACGCCGGCGGAGCCUUGUUCUUGGACCUGCGUUGGUAGAUAGCCGGUUGGGACUGACACGACGCCGGG
This is a non-coding RNA of Lolium perenne, 2291 nucleotides long. Lineage: Eukaryota; Viridiplantae; Streptophyta; Magnoliopsida; Poales; Poaceae. The record is from RefSeq and is a predicted model, not a curated record.